This 83-nucleotide transfer RNA is filed under the name Danionella cerebrum. Its description in RNAcentral is "tRNA-Leu". It matches the Rfam family "tRNA". Rfam says of the family: Transfer RNA (tRNA) molecules are approximately 80 nucleotides in length. The record is from RNAcentral. Lineage: Eukaryota; Metazoa; Chordata; Actinopteri; Cypriniformes; Danionidae.
ACCAGGUUCCCCGAGAGGUUAAGGCGUUGGUCUUAAGAUCCAAUGGACAAAUGUCCUCAUGGGUUCGAACCUCACUCCUGGUA